UAAUGUUAUUCAUUUGUGAUGAUUUUUUUAUUUUAUUUUUUUAUUUUUAAUUUUAUUUCAAGUAAUGUAAAUGAUCAUUGUUUUCGUUUCCCGUCCUAUAAUAACCCUGCAGACUUCAGCGUUAAUUUCCUUGUGCUUCAAAUCUACAGUGAGAUGGGUGUUUACUGUAAAUGUUGUGUGUGUUUAUUCUUGUCAGUUUCCGCAGGCUUUGUUUUUAGUCCGUUGUUUUGGUUUCCCAGGAGCGGCAUGAAAGCACAUUGACGUCCCUCCAAACAGGAAGUCAGAAACAGUCGAGUGAGUUGAUGAAGUGAAGUGGACAGUGAUCUUGGGACUUUUCAGUAUCUUCAUGAAGGACCGCUUCAGAUGUUUCUUUACAGACAUUUAUCAUAUUCCAUAAGUAGAUGAGCCAGCAGAGGGAGACACGAGAGCUCAGUUCCUCACUGAGUUAAACAGUGCACAUGAAAUGAAAACCACCUGAACAUGUCGUGGUCUGAGAAACCCAGGCUCCGGGAUCGUGGAGGUUCCCACAGUCACGGAGAACCUGGACGAGUCUGGGAAGUUUGAAGCUGAGGUCUGCAGGCCUGGAGAAGUCAAGGAAAGG
Long non-coding RNA from Puntigrus tetrazona (Sumatra barb), 601 nucleotides. RefSeq lists it as uncharacterized. NCBI's taxonomy places the organism in Eukaryota, Metazoa, Chordata, Actinopteri, Cypriniformes, Cyprinidae. The record is from RefSeq and is a predicted model, not a curated record. The transcript is spliced from 3 exons.